UUAUGCUGAGGGCUCGCGCUA
RNAcentral lists this unclassified non-coding RNA (21 nucleotides) under Chlamydomonas reinhardtii. RNAcentral describes it as "small RNA Cre_3765". The record is from RNAcentral. Lineage: Eukaryota; Viridiplantae; Chlorophyta; Chlorophyceae; Chlamydomonadales; Chlamydomonadaceae.